GUGCCCGCUUCACUAGCACAUACACUAAAUUGGAACGACAUAGAGAAGAUUAGCAUGGCCCCUGCGCGAGGAUGACACACAAAUUCAUGAAGUGUUCUGUAUUUUU
Molecule: small nuclear RNA, 106 nt
Organism: Peromyscus maniculatus bairdii (prairie deer mouse)
Lineage: Eukaryota; Metazoa; Chordata; Mammalia; Rodentia; Cricetidae
Source: Ensembl